Trifolium pratense (red clover) is the source of this 387-nucleotide long non-coding RNA. RefSeq lists it as uncharacterized. NCBI's taxonomy places the organism in Eukaryota, Viridiplantae, Streptophyta, Magnoliopsida, Fabales, Fabaceae. The record is from RefSeq and is a predicted model, not a curated record. The transcript is spliced from 2 exons.
UAACUAUAUAAGGACCAAGUUAGAGAGAGGUUGUCAUAAAUUAUGAUUUUGAUGGAGGUAGAGAGAGAAGCUCUCAAGAAAGAAAGAUAAAGAGAAAGUUAGAGAAAAGAAGAGAAAGAAUGAAGAGGAAAGCUAAGUAGAGGGGAAGAUUGAAGAAGAGCUAGGAGAUGAAGGGCUAGAGAAUCCAACAUCAAUAAGGUUCUCAGGUCGUGUGUUCGAGUAUUGGUGAAGCUCCGCUCUGAUUAUGACACGGGAAAAGGGGGUUUUAUAUAUGUAGAGUCCUCUAGUCUUAAUUAUUUUGUAUAAUUAAUAAUACUUUAUUUAAUUCAAAGAUUUGUUUAAACUCGUAUUCUACCAAUUAAUGUUAUUAGUAAGGUUUUGAAGUAA